CUUUUUUGGAGAGUUUGAUCCUGGCUCAGGAUGAACGCUGGCGGCGUGCCUAAUACAUGCAAGUCGAGCGGGAGAAUCAUCCUUCGGGAUGAGGAUCCAGCGGCGAACGGGUGAGUAACACGUGGGCAACCUGCCCGCAAGACCGGGAUAACUCCGGGAAACCGGGGCUAAUACCGGAUAGGCCAUUUCCCCGCAUGGGGAAAUGGGGAAAGGCGGCUUCGGCUGUCACUUGCGGAUGGGCCCGCGGCGCAUUAG
This 255-nucleotide ribosomal RNA is filed under the name Thermoactinomyces vulgaris. Its description in RNAcentral is "partial 16S ribosomal RNA". It matches the Rfam family "Bacterial small subunit ribosomal RNA", at positions 1 to 244 of the family's 1533-position model. Lineage: Bacteria; Bacillati; Bacillota; Bacilli; Caryophanales; Thermoactinomycetaceae. The record is from RNAcentral.